Molecule: ribosomal RNA, 585 nt
Filed under: uncultured bacterium
Lineage: Bacteria
Description: partial 16S ribosomal RNA
Rfam family: Bacterial small subunit ribosomal RNA
Source: RNAcentral
UGGGGAAUUUUGGACAAUGGGCGAAAGCCUGAUCCAGCAAUGCCGCGUGUGUGAAGAAGGCCUUCGGGUUGUAAAGCACUUUUGUCCGGAAAGAAAUCCUUGGCUCUAAUACAGUCGGGGGAUGACGGUACCGGAAGAAUAAGCACCGGCUAACUACGUGCCAGCAGCCGCGGUAAUACGUAGGGUGCAAGCGUUAAUCGGAAUUACUGGGCGUAAAGCGUGCGCAGGCGGUUUGCUAAGACCGAUGUGAAAUCCCCGGGCUCAACCUGGGAACUGCAUUGGUGACUGGCAGGCUAGAGUAUGGCAGAGGGGGGUAGAAUUCCACGUGUAGCAGUGAAAUGCGUAGAGAUGUGGAGGAAUACCGAUGGCGAAGGCAGCCCCCUGGGCCAAUACUGACGCUCAUGCACGAAAGCGUGGGGAGCAAACAGGAUUAGAUACCCUGGUAGUCCACGCCCUAAACGAUGCCAACUAGUUGUUGGGGAUUCAUUUCCUUAGUAACGUAGCUAACGCGUGAAGUUGACCGCCUGGGGAGUACGGUCGCAAGAUUAAAACUCAAAGGAAUUGACGGGGUCAUAGCUGUUUCCU